UUUUACUAGGUUGGUGCAAAAGUAAUUGAGGUUUUUGCAGUUACUUUUAAUGGCAAAAACUGUGAUUACUUUUGCACCAACCUAAUAAAUGU
MicroRNA precursor from Chlorocebus sabaeus (green monkey), 92 nucleotides. Lineage: Eukaryota; Metazoa; Chordata; Mammalia; Primates; Cercopithecidae. The record is from Ensembl.